UAAGACAGAGGUCCCGAGCGUUAGGCGGAAUCACUGGGCUUAAAGCGUGUGUAGGCGGAGUGCUAAGUACCUUGUGAAAUCCCACGGCUCAACCGUGGAACUGCUUGGUAUACUGGUUCUCUUGAGCCACCUAGGGGCAACCGGAACAAACGGUGGAGCGGUGAAAUGCGUAGAUAUCGUUUGGAACGCCAAUGGUGAAAACAGGUUGCUGGAAGUGUGCUGACGCUGAGACACGAAAGCCAGGGGAGCAAACGGGAUUAGAUACCCCGGUAGUCCUGGCUGUAAACGAUGUCGACUAGAUCGUGGUGGCUCUGACGCCUUCACGGUCGAAGCAAAAGUGCUAAGUCGACCGCCUGGGAAGUACGGUCGCAAGGCUA
RNAcentral lists this ribosomal RNA (377 nucleotides) under uncultured bacterium. Its description in RNAcentral is "bacterial SSU rRNA". It matches the Rfam family "Bacterial small subunit ribosomal RNA", at positions 521 to 896 of the family's 1533-position model. The record is from RNAcentral.